This 520-nucleotide ribosomal RNA is filed under the name uncultured bacterium. Its description in RNAcentral is "bacterial SSU rRNA". It matches the Rfam family "Archaeal small subunit ribosomal RNA", at positions 345 to 866 of the family's 1478-position model. The record is from RNAcentral.
AACCUCCGCAAUGUGAGAAAUCGCGACGGGGGGAUCCCAAGUGCCAUUCUUAACGGGAUGGCUUUUCAUUAGUGUAAAGAGCUUUUGGAAUAAGAGCUGGGCAAGACCGGUGCCAGCCGCCGCGGUAACACCGGCAGCUCUAGUGGUAGCAAUUUUUAUUGGGCCUAAAGCGUCCGUAGCCGGUUUAAUAAGUCUCUGGUGAAAUCCUGUAGCUUAACUGUGGGAAUUGCUGGAGAUACUAUUAGACUUGAGACCGGGAGAGGUUAGAGGUACUCCCAGGGUAGAGGUGAAAUUCUGUAAUCCUGGGAGGACCGCCUGUUGCGAAGGCGUCUAACCGGAACGGUUCUGACGGUGAGGGACGAAAGUUAGGGGCGCGAACCGGAUUAGAUACCCGGGUAGUCCUAACUGUAACGAUGCGGACUUGGUGUUGGGGUGGCUUUGAGCUGCUCCAGUGCCGAAGGGAAGCUGUUAAGUCCGCCGCCUGGGAAGUACGGUCGCAAGACUGAAACUUAAAGGAAGU